This 424-nucleotide ribosomal RNA is filed under the name uncultured beta proteobacterium. Its description in RNAcentral is "bacterial SSU rRNA". It matches the Rfam family "Bacterial small subunit ribosomal RNA", at positions 202 to 622 of the family's 1533-position model. Lineage: Bacteria; Pseudomonadati; Pseudomonadota; Betaproteobacteria. The record is from RNAcentral.
CAAGACCUCUCACUAUUGGAGCGGCCGAUGUCUGAUUAGCUAGUUGGUGGGGUAAAAGCCCACCAAGGCGACGAUCAGUAGCUGGUCUGAGAGAGCGAUCAGCCACACUGGGACUGAGACACGGCCCAGACUCCUACGGGAGGCAGCAGUGGGGAAUUUUGGACAAUGGGGGCAACCCUGAUCCAGCCAUGCCGCGUGCGUGAAGAAGGCCUUCGGGUUGUAAACCGCUUUUGUCAGGGAAGAAAUUGGCCAGGUUAAUACCUUGGCUAGAUGACGGUACCUGGAGAAUAAGCACCGGCUAACUACGUGCCAGCAGCCGCGGUAAUACGUAGGGUGCAAGCGUUAAUCGGAAUUACUGGGCGUAAAGCGUGCGCAGGCGGUUUUGCAAGUCAGAUGUGAAAGCCCCGGGCUCAACCUGGGAAUU